RNAcentral lists this ribosomal RNA (253 nucleotides) under uncultured bacterium. RNAcentral describes it as "partial 16S ribosomal RNA". It matches the Rfam family "Bacterial small subunit ribosomal RNA", at positions 524 to 776 of the family's 1533-position model. The record is from RNAcentral.
GACGAGGGAUCCUAGCGUUGUUCGGAAUCAUUGGGCGUAAAGCGGGUGUAGGCGGGCUUAUAAGUCAGGUGUGAAAUCCCAGGGCUCAACCCUGGAAGUGCAUUUGAUACUGUAAGUCUUGAGUGUGGUAGAGGUUACUGGAAUUCCUGGUGUAGUGGUGAAAUACGUAGAUAUCAGGAGGAAUACCGGAGGCGAAGGCGAGUAACUGGGCUAACACUGACGCUGAGAUCCGAAAGCGUGGGGAUCAAACAGG